GCGCUCUUAGCUCAGUUGGAUAGAGUAUCUGAUUACGUUACGAAUCAGAAGGUCGGGCGUUCGAAUCGCUCAGAGUGUG
RNAcentral lists this transfer RNA (79 nucleotides) under Pseudomonadota bacterium. Its description in RNAcentral is "Proteobacteria bacterium tRNA-OTHER". It matches the Rfam family "tRNA". Rfam says of the family: Transfer RNA (tRNA) molecules are approximately 80 nucleotides in length. Their secondary structure includes four short double-helical elements and three loops (D, anti-codon, and T loops). The record is from RNAcentral. Lineage: Bacteria; Pseudomonadati; Pseudomonadota.